UACAGAGACUGCAAGCGUUAUUCGGAUUCACUGGGCGUAAAGGGUGCGCAGGUGGCCAAGUGUGUGAGGCGUGAAAGCCCGGGGCUUAACCCCGGAAUUGCACCUCAAACUACUUGGCUAGAGCAUUGGAGAGGGGAGCAGAAUUCAUGGUGUAGCAGUGAAAUGCGUAGAUAUCAUGAGGAAUACCAGAGGCGAAGGCGGCUCCCUGGACAAUUGCUGACACUCAGGCACGAAAGCGUGGGGAGCAAAAGGG
RNAcentral lists this ribosomal RNA (253 nucleotides) under uncultured bacterium. RNAcentral's name for it is "partial 16S ribosomal RNA". It matches the Rfam family "Bacterial small subunit ribosomal RNA", at positions 524 to 776 of the family's 1533-position model. The record is from RNAcentral.